GAUGAAGAACGUAGCGAAAUGCGAUAAGUAGUGUGAAUUGCAGAAUUCAGUGAAUCAUCGAAUCUUUGAACGCACAUUGCGCCCCUUGGUAUUCCAUGGGGCAUGCCUGUUCGAGCGUCAUUUGUACCCUCAAGCUAAGCUUGGUGUUGGGUGUUUGUCCACUCCCUCGUGUUUGGACUCGCCUUAAAACAAUUGGCAGCCAGUGUUUUGGUAUUGAAGCGCAGCACAAUUUGCGAUUCUAGCCUAGAAUACUAGCAUCCAUCAAGUCAUUUUUAACGCUUGACCUCGGAUCAGGUAGGGAUACCCGCUGAACUUAAGCAUAUCAUAAGCGGAGGA
This 336-nucleotide unclassified non-coding RNA is filed under the name soil metagenome. RNAcentral describes it as "partial contains 5.8S ribosomal RNA, internal transcribed spacer 2, and large subunit ribosomal RNA". The stretch from base 1 to 120 matches the Rfam family "5.8S ribosomal RNA", at positions 35 to 154 of the family's 154-position model. The record is from RNAcentral.